Molecule: non-coding RNA, 310 nt
Organism: Arachis ipaensis
Lineage: Eukaryota; Viridiplantae; Streptophyta; Magnoliopsida; Fabales; Fabaceae
Source: RefSeq, a predicted model, not a curated record
UAAAAUUAAUUUUUUAUUUCUGAUUGGUACUCUUUUUUUUUCCACCCAAAACACAACCAAAAAAGAAAAAAGUUGUUGUGGAGGAUUCACCUCCUAAAGAAGAUCAAUACUUUGACGGUGAGACAUAUGAAAUAUCAAGUGACGAACUAGAUGAAUGGCUAAGGGAAAAUGUUGAUAAAUCUGCUGCAGAGGGGGAGAACCAAGCUGACCUACGAUCGACAGAAGGUCGCUAUGUGUCAUCUGAAACGUAAGAAGCUUUAUUAUUUAAUAAAAUCUUGUUAUCAUGAUUUGGGUGUAUUUUGUGAAACCA